GAUGAACGCUGGCGGCGUGCCUAACACAUGCAAGUCGAACGAAGCUUGACGAAUGAUUUCUUCGGAAUGAAUUCUGAUAUGACUUAGUGGCGGACGGGUGAGUAACACGUGAGCAACCUGCCUUUCAGAGGGGGAUAACGGCUGGAAACGGUCGCUAAUACCGCAUGAUAUGUUCGGAUGGCAUCGUCUGAACAUCAAAGAUUUAUCGCUGAAAGAUGGGCUCGCGUCUGAUUAGAUAGUUGGUGAGGUAACGGCUCACCAAGUCGACGAUCAGUAGCCGGACUGAGAGGUUGAACGGCCACAUUGGGACUGAGAUACGGCCCAGACUCCUACGGGAGGCAGCAGUGGGGAAUAUUGCACAAUGGGGGAAACCCUGAUGCAGCAACGCCGCGUGAAGGAAGACGGUUUUCGGAUUGUAAACUUCUUUUCUCUGUGAAGAAACAAAUGACGGUAGCAAAGGAAUAAGCAUCGGCUAACUACGUGCCAGCAGCCGCGGUAAUACGUAGGAUGCAAGCGUUAUCCGGAUUUACUGGGUGUAAAGGGAGCGCAGGCGGGACUUCAAGUUGGAUGUGAAAGGUCAAGGCUUAACCUUGGCACUGCAUCCAAAACUGUAGUUCUUGAGUGGAGUAGAGGUAAGCGGAAUUCCGAAUGUAGCGGUGAAAUGCGUAGAUAUUCGGAGGAACACCAGUGGCGAAGGCGGCUUACUGGGCUCUAACUGACGCUGAGGCUCGAAAGUGUGGGGAGNCAACAGG
Molecule: ribosomal RNA, 752 nt
Filed under: uncultured bacterium
Lineage: Bacteria
Description: bacterial SSU rRNA
Rfam family: Bacterial small subunit ribosomal RNA
Source: RNAcentral